Molecule: unclassified non-coding RNA, 250 nt
Filed under: plant metagenome
Description: partial contains small subunit ribosomal RNA, internal transcribed spacer 1, and 5.8S ribosomal RNA
Rfam family: Eukaryotic small subunit ribosomal RNA (bases 1-53)
Source: RNAcentral
GGAAGUAAAAUCGUAACAAGGUCUCCGUAGGUGAACCUGCGGAGGGAUCAUUACAGAGUUCAUGCCCUAACGGGUAGAUCUCCCACCCUAUGUUAUCAUCACUUUGUUGCUUUGGCGGGCCGUCAGGCCUCGGCUUGGCUACCGGCUCUCGCUGGUAAGCGCCCGCCAGAGAACCCCAAACCCUGAAUAUCAGUGUCGUCUGAGUACUAUAUAAUAGUUAAAACUUUCAACAACGGAUCUCUUGGUUCUG